AAUCAACGCUGGCGGCGUGCCUCAGACAUGCAAGUCGAACGAUUAAAGCUCCCUUCGGGGAGUGCAUAAAGUGGCGCACGGGUGAGUAACACGUAAGUAAUCUACCCUCGAGUGGGGAAUAACAGUCGGAAACGACUGCUAAUACCGCAUAAUGCAGCGGCACCUUAUGGUGACAGUUGUUAAAGGAGCAAUCCGCUUGAGGAGGAGCUUGCGGCAGAUUAGCUUGUUGGUAAGGUAACGGCUUACCAAGGCUACGAUCUGUAUCCGGCCUGAGAGGGCGGUCGGACACACUGACACUGAAUAACGGGUCAGACUCCUACGGGAGGCAGCAGUCGGGAAUUUUGGGCAAUGGGCGAAAGCCUGACCCAGCAACGCCGCGUGAAGGAUGAAGUAUUUCGGUAUGUAAACUUCGAAAGAAUGGGAAGAAUAAAUGACGGUACCAUUUAUAAGCUCCGGCUAACUACGUGCCAGCCGCCGCCGUAACAC
This 486-nucleotide ribosomal RNA is filed under the name uncultured bacterium. RNAcentral describes it as "bacterial SSU rRNA". It matches the Rfam family "Bacterial small subunit ribosomal RNA", at positions 32 to 526 of the family's 1533-position model. The record is from RNAcentral.